Molecule: ribosomal RNA, 643 nt
Filed under: uncultured bacterium
Lineage: Bacteria
Description: bacterial SSU rRNA
Rfam family: Bacterial small subunit ribosomal RNA
Source: RNAcentral
CGCGGCCUAUCAGCUUGUUGGUGGGGUGAUGGCCUACCAAGGCGACGACGGGUAGCCGGCCUGAGAGGGCGACCGGCCACACUGGGACUGAGACACGGCCCAGACUCCUACGGGAGGCAGCAGUGGGGAGUAUUGCGCAAUGGGCGGAAGCCUGACGCAGCGACGCCGCGUGGGGGAUGACGGCCUUCGGGUUGUAAACCUCUUUCGCCAGGGACGAAGCGCAAGUGACGGUACCUGGAUAAGAAGCACCGGCCAACUACGUGCCAGCAGCCGCGGUAAUACGUAGGGUGCGAGCGUUGUCCGGAAUUAUUGGGCGUAAAGAGCUCGUAGGCGGUCUGUCGCGUCGGUCGUGAAAACUUGGGGCUUAACCCUGAGCUUGCGGUCGAUACGGGCAUGACUGGAGUUCGGCAGGGGAGACUGGAAUUCCUGGUGUAGCGGUGAAAUGCGCAGAUAUCAGGAGGAACACCGGUGGCGAAGGCGGGUCUCUGGGCCGAUACUGACGCUGAGGAGCGAAAGCGUGGGGAGCGAACAGGAUUAGAUACCCUGGUAGUCCACGCCGUAAACGGUGGGCGCUAGGUGUGGGGGCCAUUCCACGGUCUCUGUGCCGCAGCUAACGCAUUAAGCGCCCCGCCUGGGAGUACGG